This 1520-nucleotide ribosomal RNA is filed under the name metagenome. RNAcentral's name for it is "bacterial SSU rRNA". It matches the Rfam family "Bacterial small subunit ribosomal RNA". The record is from RNAcentral.
GAGUUUGAUCAUGGCUCAGAUUGGACGCUGGCGGCAGGCCUAACACAUGCAAGUCGAACGGUAACAGGAAACAGCUUGCUGUUUCGCUGACGAGUGGCGGACGGGUGAGUAAUGUCUGGGAAACUGCCUGAUGGAGGGGGAUAACUACUGGAAACGGUAGCUAAUACCGCAUAACGUCGCAAGACCAAAGAGGGGGACCUUCGGGCCUCUUGCCAUCAGAUGUGCCCAGAUGGGAUUAGCUAGUAGGUGGGGUAACGGCUCACCUAGGCGACGAUCCCUAGCUGGUCUGAGAGGAUGACCAGCCACACUGGAACUGAGACACGGUCCAGACUCCUACGGGAGGCAGCAGUGGGGAAUAUUGCACAAUGGGCGCAAGCCUGAUGCAGCCAUGCCGCGUGUAUGAAGAAGGCCUUCGGGUUGUAAAGUACUUUCAGCGGGGAGGAAGGGAGUAAAGUUAAUACCUUUGCUCAUUGACGUUACCCGCAGAAGAAGCACCGGCUAACUCCGUGCCAGCAGCCCGGUAAUACGGAGGGUGCAAGCGUUAAUCGGAAUUACUGGGCGUAAAGCGCACGCAGGCGGUUUGUUAAGUCAGAUGUGAAAUCCCCGGGCUCAACCUGGGAACUGCAUCUGAUACUGGCAAGCUUGAGUCUCGUAGAGGGGGGUAGAAUUCCAGGUGUAGCGGUGAAAUGCGUAGAGAUCUGGAGGAAUACCGGUGGCGAAGGCGGCCCCCUGGACGAGGACUGACGCUCAGGUGCGAAAGCGUGGGGAGCAAACAGGAUUAGAUACCCUGGUAGUCCACGCCGUAAACGAUGUCGACUUGGAGGUUGUGCCCUUGAGGCGUGGCUUCCGGAGCUAACGCGUUAAGUCGACCGCCUGGGGAGUACGGCCGCAAGGUUAAAACUCAAAUGAAUUGACGGGGGCCCGCACAAGCGGUGGAGCAUGUGGUUUAAUUCGAUGCAACGCGAAGAACCUUACCUGGUCUUGACAUCCACGGAAGUUUUCAGAGAUGAGAAUGUGCCUUCGGGAACCGUGAGACAGGUGCUGCAUGGCUGUCGUCAGCUCGUGUUGUGAAAUGUUGGGUUAAUUCCCGCAACGAGCGCAACCCUUAUCCUUUGUUGCCAGCGGUCCGGCCGGGAAUUCAAAGGAGACUGCCAGUGAUAAACUGGAGGAAGGUGGGGAUGACGUCAAGUCAUCAUGGCCCUUACGACCAGGGCUACACACGUGCUACAAUGGCGCAUACAAAGAGAAGCGACCUCGCGAGAGCAAGCGGACCUCAUAAAGUGCGUCGUGGUCCGGAUUGGAGUCUGCAACUCGACUCCAUGAAGUCGGAAUCGCUAGUAAUCGUGGAUCAGAAUGCCACGGUGAAUAUGUUCCCGGGCCUUGUACACACCGCCCGUCACACCAUGGGAGUGGGUUGCAAAAGAAGUAGGUAGCUUAACCUUCGGGAGGGCGCUUACCACUUUGUGAUUCAUGACUGGGGUGAAGUCGUAACAAGGUAACCGUAGGGGAACCUGCGGUUG